UACGUAGGGGGCAAGCGUUGUCCGGAAUCAUUGGGCGUAAAGGGUGUGUAGGUGGCGCCGUAAGUCGGGUGUGAAAUUUCGGAGCUUAACUCCGAAACUGCGUUCGAUACUGCGGUGCUUGAGGACUGGAGAGGAGACUGGAAUUCAUGGUGUAGCAGUGAAAUGCGUAGAGAUCAUGAGGAAGACCAGUGGCGAAGGCGGGUCUCUGGACAGUUCCUGACACUGAGGCACGAAGGCCAGGGGAGCAAACGGG
This 253-nucleotide ribosomal RNA is filed under the name uncultured bacterium. RNAcentral describes it as "partial 16S ribosomal RNA". It matches the Rfam family "Bacterial small subunit ribosomal RNA", at positions 524 to 776 of the family's 1533-position model. The record is from RNAcentral.